AGCGAACGCUGGCGGCAGGCUUAACACAUGCAAGUCGAGCGGGCCUUUCGGGGUCAGCGGCGGACGGGUGAGUAACGCGUGGGAACGUGCCCUCUGGUUCGGAAUAACUCAGGGAAACUUGAGCUAAUACCGGAUACGCCCUUUUGGGGAAAGGCUUGCUGCCGGAGGAUCGGCCCGCGUAUGAUUAGCUAGUUGGUGAGGUAACGGCUCACCAAGGCGACGAUCAGUAGCUGGUCUGAGAGGAUGAUCAGCCACACUGGGACUGAGACACGGCCCAGACUCCUACGGGAGGCAGCAGUGGGGAAUAUUGGACAAUGGGCGCAAGCCUGAUCCAGCCAUGCCGCGUGAGUGAUGAAGGCCUUAGGGUUGUAAAGCUCUUUUAUCCGGGACGAUAAUGACGGUACCGGAGGAAUAAGCCCCGGCUAACUUCGUG
Molecule: ribosomal RNA, 433 nt
Filed under: uncultured bacterium
Lineage: Bacteria
Description: partial 16S ribosomal RNA
Rfam family: Bacterial small subunit ribosomal RNA
Source: RNAcentral